UAACGGCUCAGUAACACGUGGCUAACCUACCCUCGAGACGGGGACAACCCCGGGAAACUGGGGCUAAUCCCAGAUAGAUGAAGACCCCUGGAAUGGGUCCUCGUCCAAAAGGCACCAUGGUUAUGCUCUGUGGUGUCGCUCAAGGAUGGGGCCGCGUCCGAUCAGGCUGUUGGUGAGGUAAUGGCUCACCAAACCUAUAACCGGUACGGGCCGUGAGAGCGGGAGCCCGGAGAUGGGAACUGAGACAAGGUCCCAGGCCCUACGGGGCGCAGCAGUUACGAAAACUUGUCAAUGCACGAAAGUGUGAACGGGCUACCCCGAGUGCCGUCCGCUGAGGAUGGCUUUUCUCUGCUUUAAGAAGGCAGAGGAAUAAGGCGAGGGCAAGUCUGGUGUCAGCCGCCGCGGUAAUACCAGCUCGCCGAGUGGUAGGGAUGAUUAUUGGGCCUAAAGCGUCCGUAGCUGGCCUUUCAAGUCUCUUGUUAAAUCCAACGAUUCAAUCGCUGGACUGCAGGAGAUACUGCAAGGCUAGGAGGCGAGAGAAGCCGACGGUAUUUUCGGGGUAGGGGUAAAAUCCUAUAAUCCCGAGAAGACCACCAGUGGCGAAGGCGGUCGGCUAGCGCGCGCUCGACGGUGAGGGACGAAAGCUGGGGGAGCGAACCGGAUUAGAUACCCGGGUAGUCCCAGCUGUAAACGAUGCUGGCUAGGUGUUGAAGCGGCCACGAGCCGCUUCAGUGCCGCAGGGAAGCCAUUAAGCC
This 755-nucleotide ribosomal RNA is filed under the name uncultured crenarchaeote. RNAcentral's name for it is "bacterial SSU rRNA". It matches the Rfam family "Archaeal small subunit ribosomal RNA", at positions 83 to 821 of the family's 1478-position model. The record is from RNAcentral. Lineage: Archaea; Thermoproteati; Thermoproteota.